UGUUCUCUGGUUUGUGCGCCAGCCAGGCUAUGUCCCUGAGCCGAUGCUUUAUCCCCCGGGGACGAAUAUGGUGGCACUGUGUGCAUGUCCGCUGCGGCGGAAAGCCUGACGUUCCACUUGCCGUCUCCACCUUGAACCCUUGGGUUCAAGGACCAGGCCGGCAGCGGCUCUACCGGAGGGUGC
RNAcentral lists this non-coding RNA (183 nucleotides) under Alcanivorax sp. 1008. Its description in RNAcentral is "6S RNA". It matches the Rfam family "6S / SsrS RNA". From Rfam's summary of the family: E. coli 6S RNA was the first non coding RNA to be sequenced, but its function was unknown until recently. Lineage: Bacteria; Pseudomonadati; Pseudomonadota; Gammaproteobacteria; Oceanospirillales; Alcanivoracaceae. The record is from RNAcentral.